AUUUUAAAUCGCAAAGUUCUGAGCACUUAGCAUUGGUACUGAAGCUGUUUUUUCUUGAGUUAGCUUUGUCUUGGUUGCCAGGAUAAACACGAAGUGUUGAGCAUCUAGAAGCGAACUUUCUGCUCUUCUCUCAAGAGCUUCAAAAUAUUCUAUUGUAUAACCUUCAUCAGUUAGAGCCUGGCGUAAAAAGGUUUCAUCCAUUGUCAAAACGUGGCACCUGUGUUCACCCACCUGACAAAAAGUGCCAUUUAAAGCCCCAAAUAAUAUAAGGUGACCUCCAGGUUUCAGUAAAAAGGAGAGUUUUCUCAGGUUUUGGUGAUAGCUGUCAUGGUCUUUGCUCAUCACCUCUAAGCCCCCCG
Non-coding RNA from Pelobates cultripes (western spadefoot toad), 359 nucleotides. The record is from the annotation of a GenBank genome assembly. Lineage: Eukaryota; Metazoa; Chordata; Amphibia; Anura; Pelobatidae.